RNAcentral lists this ribosomal RNA (445 nucleotides) under uncultured bacterium. Its description in RNAcentral is "partial 16S ribosomal RNA". It matches the Rfam family "Bacterial small subunit ribosomal RNA", at positions 354 to 796 of the family's 1533-position model. The record is from RNAcentral.
GUGAGGAAUAUUGGUCAAUGGACGCGAGUCUGAACCAGCCAAGUAGCGUGAAGGAUGACUGCCCUAUGGGUUGUAAACUUCUUUUAUAAGGGAAUAAAGUGAGGGACGUGUCCCUUUUUGUAUGUACCUUAUGAAUAAGGAUCGGCUAACUCCGUGCCAGCAGCCGCGGUAAUACGGUGGAUCCAAGCGUUAUCCGGAUUUAUUGGGUUUAAAGGGAGCGUAGGUUGACAUAUAAGUCAGCUGUGAAAGUUUACGGCUCAACCGUGAAAUUGCAGUUGAUACUGUAUGUCUUGAGUGUACAAGAGGUGGGCGGAAUUCGUGGUGUAGCGGUGAAAUGCUUAGAUAUCACGAAGAACUCCAAUUGCGAAGGCAGCUCACUGGGGUACAACUGACACUGAGGCUCGAAAGUGUGGGUAUCAAACAGGAUUAGAAACCCGUGUAGUCC